CCUACGGGUGGCAGCAGUGGGGAAUCUUCCACAAUGGGGGAAACCCUGAUGCAGCGACGCCGCGUGAGUGAAGAAGUAAUUCGUUAUGUAAAGCUCUAUCAGCAGGGAAGAAAAUGACGGUAACUGAGUAAGCAGCCCCGGCUAACUACGUGCCAGCAGCCGCGGUAAUACGUAGGGGGCAAGCGUUCUCCGGAUUGACUGGGUGGAGGGGGAGCGUAGACGGUAGUGCAAGUCUGGAGUGAAAGGCGGGGGCUCAACCCUCGGAAUGCUCGGGAGACUGUACGGCUGGAGUGCAGGAGAGGGGAGUGGAAUUCCUAGUGUAGCGGUGAAAUGCGUAGAUAUUAGGAGGAACACCAGUGGCGAAGGCGGCUUACUGGACUGUAACUGACGUUGAGGCUCGAAAGCGUGGGGAGCAAACAGGAUUAGAUACCCUAGUAGUC
Molecule: ribosomal RNA, 440 nt
Filed under: uncultured bacterium
Lineage: Bacteria
Description: partial 16S ribosomal RNA
Rfam family: Bacterial small subunit ribosomal RNA
Source: RNAcentral